Molecule: ribosomal RNA, 481 nt
Filed under: Escherichia coli
Lineage: Bacteria; Pseudomonadati; Pseudomonadota; Gammaproteobacteria; Enterobacterales; Enterobacteriaceae
Description: partial 23S ribosomal RNA
Rfam family: Bacterial large subunit ribosomal RNA
Source: RNAcentral
CGAAAGGCGUAGUCGAUGGGAAACAGGUUAAUAUUCCUGUACUUGGUGUUACUGCGAAGGGGGGACGGAGAAGGCUAUGUUGGCCGGGCGACGGUUGUCCCGGUUUAAGCGUGUAGGCUGGUUUUCCAGGCAAAUCCGGAAAAUCAAGGCUGAGGCGUGAUGACGAGGCACUACGGUGCUGAAGCAACAAAUGCCCUGCUUCCAGGAAAAGCCUCUAAGCAUCAGGUAACAUCAAAUCGUACCCCAAACCGACACAGGUGGUCAGGUAGAGAAUACCAAGGCGCUUGAGAGAACUCGGGUGAAGGAACUAGGCAAAAUGGUGCCGUAACUUCGGGAGAAGGCACGCUGAUAUGUAGGUGAAGCGACUUGCUCGUGGAGCUGAAAUCAGUCGAAGAUACCAGCUGGCUGCAACUGUUUAUUAAAAACACAGCACUGUGCAAACACGAAAGUGGACGUAUACGGUGUGACGCCUGCCCGGUGC